This 4473-nucleotide long non-coding RNA is filed under the name Salmo salar (Atlantic salmon). RNAcentral's name for it is "lncRNA (ENSSSAG00000095292.1)". The record is from RNAcentral. Lineage: Eukaryota; Metazoa; Chordata; Actinopteri; Salmoniformes; Salmonidae.
ACAGUUUGGCCUGUCAAUCAAUCACUGUGGGUGGGAUUGUCAGGGGAGGGGGCAGGAUGUUUGUAACAGAGUUGUUAUGGUUUCAGAUCUGUCAAUCAAUCACUGUGGGUGAGACUUUGAGGGAAUAGAUUAGUAAUCCAGUCAGAAAAGUCUACUCUUUCAAUAUAAUUUAUUGUGGCAAAGACCUAAGAAAAAAAGUUGUGUUUUGUCAAGUAAAUAUAGAUUACAUGCUAAGAAACAAUGUAGAGUUGCAGAAAAAAAUAAAAACUUUAAAAGUCCCCAUCAGAUUGUGCACCCCCCCCAAUCUUAAACAUAGUCAAGUGUCCAUGAAUAGACCUGCAGGUGUGAUUGAUGAAUGAAGCAGGUGUUAAACAUGGAAUCUGCUACAUAGAAGGAAGCAGUUGACUGCUUUCGUGUUCGACAUUUUAAUCAAAUCAGUAGGCCUACAUCAAUAUCAUGACGUUAGAUUUUAUAACCUUAAAUUUGUUUUCAUCUAUCGUAUUUUGGACCAGAACGAGGCUCUUUCUCCACUACCUAUUGUUCCUGCAGUGAGGCUUUAACAUCUUCACCUAAUGUUUUCAGAAUUUAUCUUCAAAUAGUCGCCAAAAUAAAUAACAGUAGUGGUCUACCAGUGUGCAAAUUAGGGAGCCAAAUGAACGACUCUCUCUCUCACCGAUAUAAUUUAGUUCCGUUCACCUAAAUGAUCCGUUCAAAAAGAGCCAUUCGUUCACAAACAACCCAUCACUAGUCAACACUGACGAGUCACUUUAGCGCUCACUGGCAAGUCAAGACAUGGUCUUCAAAUCCUAGGAAAAUACAAAGGAAAUUGUUGGUUUACUGUACAGAUGCGAUAUAAAAAAAGAAAUGGAUCUGCCACAAAACAAUAACGUAGUGGAUUUCAACUCAUCAUGACCACUUACGUCACAUGGAUUUGUGGAAAUACACUCACGUGAAAGGAUGAAGAAGCAUCAUGCUCUCCCUGCUACGUGAAAAUAAAUUAGACUGCAGCCAACAAGAACAAACACAAACCCAGGUACUGAGAGGCGGGACAGACAGCAGACUGACCAACCAGCAGUGUCCCUGUCAUCGCUUGCUAUGUGACUGACAGGCGUCUGUCCUAUCAAUAGACCACUAGAAGAUACAUUUAGUUCUUCUAGCGGGAUAAGGCUAUACACACAUUUCUGACUAGCAAAUGUAAUAUUUUUUAAAUGAAAAUAAGCCUAGUUAAUGAAUGAAGUGGAAAAAGUAACUGGCUAACAAUGAGGCUGUUCUCGGCUGUUUAUUUAACACUGUAUUGUCUUCCCCUAGUUUGAAGACUGAAAUGAGAGAAAAGUAGGUCGAGUCUGUAGGGAGAGCAGGCCUUUCAGAGAGUAAGGUCGGUCGAGUCUGUGGGGAGAGCAGGCCUUUCAGAGAGUAAGGUAGGUCGAGUCUGUGGGGAGAGCAGGCCUUUCAGAGAGUAAGGUCGGUCGAGUCUGUGGGGAGAGCAGGCCUUUCAGAGAGUAAGGUUGGUCGAGUCUAUGGGGAGAGCAGGCCUUUCAGAGAGUAAGGUCGGUCGAGUCUGUUUGGAGAGCAGGCCUUUCAGAGAGUAAGGUCGGUCGAGUCUAUGGGGAGAGCAGGCCUUUCAGAGAGUAAGGUCGGUCAAGUCUAUGGGGAGAGCAGGCCUUUCAGAGAGUAAGGUCGGUCGAGUCUAUGGGGAGAGCAGGCCUUUCAGAGAGUAAGGUCGGUCGAGUCUGUGUGGAGAGCAGGCCAUUCAGAGAGUAAGGUUGGUCGAGUCUGUUUGGAGAGCAGGCCUUUCAGAGAGUAAGGUAGAUCGAGUCCAUGGGGAGAGCAGGCCUUUCAGAGAGAGAGUGAAGAAGAUGAAGAUGACGGGAGUAGAGUGAUGAAGGGUACCGAGUCACAGCAAACCAAUGCCUGGGAACACAAACACACACACACCUCACUCACCCAGGUUGUGCUCGGUGAACAACGGCAGAUUGACGCUCGAGUUGAAGCUCCCUGGAGUAGAAAAGAUGCAAUAACCACAUCCACUUUAAUACAAUAGGUUAGCAAGCUUGAAAUAAACAAAUAUCACACUUGUAUUCAUUUGAAAUGGAGAGCAGAGAAGAAAGAAAGGGUGGUGACUAAUACAGUAGGUCCUGUACUGUGACUACUACAGUAGGUCCUGUACUGUGACUAAUACAGUAGGUCCUGUACUGUGUGAUGUGACUAAUACAGUAGGUCCUGUACUGUGACUAAUACAGUAGGUCCUGUACUGUGACUAAUACAGUAGGUCCUGUACUGUGACUAAUACAGUAGGUCCUGUACUGUGUAAUGUGACUAAUACAGUAUGUCCUGUACUGUGUACUGUGACUAAUACAUUAGGUCCUGUACUGUGACUAAUACAGUAGGUCAUGUGCUGUGUGCUGUGACUAAUACAGUAGGUCCUGUACUGUGUACUGUGACUAAUACAGUAGGUCCUGUACUGUGACUAAUACAGUAGGUCCUGUACUGUGACUAAUACAGUAGGUCCUGUACUGUGUAAUGUGACUAAUACAGUAGGUCCUGUACUGUGUGAUGUGACUAAUACAGUAGGUCCUGUACUGUGACUAAUACAGUAGGUUCUGUACUGUGUGAUGUGACUGUAGAGAUUUUGUGACCAUAGUACAGUAGGUCCUAGUGGUAGGAAUGUAUGACUCACUCUUCCUGGGGUACUCAGGUAGAGGAUCCACCUGGUAGGCACUACGGAGGAAGCUGGGCUUGGGUCUCUCCUUUUCCUCAGCAGCCUUUACCCUGACCUCCCCCUCCCUCUCGGGGACUGGAGCAUGAAGGAGCACCUCCUGGUCUGAUUCUCCCAGAUACCCUUUACUCCCAUCCACCACUUGCCUCUCCUGGGUUUCCGCGUCUCUCUUGUUCCCCUCCUCUUCAGGCUCCUGGUCCAAAUCCUCCAUCCUCUCCUCCUCUUCCUCUUCUUCCCGGUGUCCGGCGGUGUUGCUACUCCCGUCACUACCAGUCCCAGACGUGUGCGCCACGCUCUCCUCGUCCGAGAUGAUGUCAUCAAAGAACUGGUCUUCAUCGAGGACGUCAGAGGGAGUGGGAGGGAUCAGGUUGAUGACAGGUGGGGUGAGGAGGCUACCUGUACCUGAGCCUCCAGGUGUGUCAAACAGAAUUGAGUCCUCCUCCUCCGCUACCUCCACCUCCUUCUCCUGCUCCUCCAUUGCCUCAUCCUGCUCCCCUUCGCCUGUUAUGUUUCUCCUCUGGUUUGCCCCAGGCUCCUCCUCGCUGGCUGGGCUUCUCCUCUUUGUCUGCUUUCCACCCGGCUGGUCUCCUCCCGGCUGGUCUCCUCCCAGCUGGAGAGGAAGGGAGGACAGAGGCUUCAGCAUUCUUUUCUUCUUCAGUGCCCUGCGGACGGCCGACACAGAGUUGGAAGAUGGACUAAAAGUACUGAACAUCUGGACUGGUGCAACCUCCUCUUUGGUCAGGGUGAAGCUAGGGUUGGCCAGCCCAAGAUCCUCCACCGUGAUGUGGAUAGCACUGGCCUCUCCCUCCCCUGAGAUCCCCUGGUCGUCCCCAAGACAAGUCCACUCUAGCUGUGUGUCCCUCUCCCCGCUCUGCCCUCUCUGGCUCUGGCCUGGUAUUAGUUCUUUGUCCUCUCCUCCCACACAGGAGCAGCAGCAGCACAGCAGCCUGCAGGAGAGACCGUGUAUGUUCUUCCUCCACAGACACAGACGAUGCAUUCGAGGACCAUGCAACCUCUCUGCCUCCAUCUCUGCAGCCAUGUCUUCCCAAUCCCAGAAAAUAAUGGAUAAAUCCAGCACACUGGUGAUCUUGAUGUUUCUGAAAAUGCUGUUGGUUUUAUUUUACCAGCAUUUCCCAACCGUGUCUGUCAUGCGUUCCCUGCCAAUUCAAUGCACAUCCUCGGGCAGUCUCAGACAAUCUCAGACCACAACGAUGCCAUUCUUCAGUUUCAUCUGAUAAGAUAACUUCUCUGACAUGUCAGAUGACUCUGCACAUCCUCGGGCAGUCUCAGACAAUCUCAGACCACAAGGAGGCAAUUCUUCAGUUUCAUCUGAUAAGACAAUUUCUCUGACACGUCAGAUCACUCUGCACUCCACUUACCUCAGACAGCCCCCCCCAAAAAAAAAAAAACAAGGAGGCUGGUAUAGUUGCUAAACUAGUGUCUUCCGAAAUCUGUCUUGUCAUGAGCUUGGCAAGCAAGACUAUUGGUAAACACGGUCUUGUUUUCUAUCUGAUAAGCCUUCGUCAAUAGUCUCACGGAAGGAUGAACAGCGAACAGCCACCCACACCUCUGCACUGUACUCCUGCUCUUACCCUUUGAUAGGUUCUGGAGGCUUCGCACGCCAUGCAAAUAUAUCUUUCUGCAGUCUGUGUUGCUUAGCAAAGCAGAGAGUACUAACUUAUUCAUGUCGCUGCUCUGGGUCGUCAGAGGAACACUUCAAAUGAACAUCAGUUUUAAUUAAAAAAAAAGGCCUUUCG